AACAAGGUUUCUGUAGGUGAACCUGCGGAAGGAUCAUUACCGAGUUGAUUCGAGCUCCGGCUCGACUCUCCCACCCUAUGUGUACCUACCUCUGUUGCUUUGGCGGGCCGCGGUCCUCCGCACCGGCGCCCUUCGGGGGGCUGGCCAGCGCCCGCCAGAGGACCAUAAAACUCCAGUCAGUGAACUUCGCAGUCUGAAAAACAAGUUAAUAAACUAAAACUUUCAACAACGGAUCUCUUGGUUCUGGCAUCGAUGAAGAACGCAGCGAAAUGCGAUAAGUAAUGUGAAUUGCAGAAUUCAGUGAAUCAUCGAAUCUUUGAACGCACAUUGCGCCCCUUGGUAUUCCGAGGGGCAUGCCUGUUCGAGCGUCAUUUCAACCCUCAAGCUCUGCUUGGUAUUGGGCCCCGUCCUCCACGGACGCGCCUUAAAGACCUCGGCGGUGGCGUCUUGCCUCAAGCGUAGUAGAAAACACCUCGCUUUGGAGCGCACGGCGUCGCCCGCCGGACGAACCUUUGAAUUAUUUCUCAAGGUUGACCUCGGAUCAGGUAGGGAUACCCGCUGAACUUAAGCAUAUCAAUAAGCGGAGGA
RNAcentral lists this ribosomal RNA (588 nucleotides) under Neofusicoccum luteum. Its description in RNAcentral is "eukaryotic LSU rRNA". The stretch from base 218 to 371 matches the Rfam family "5.8S ribosomal RNA". Lineage: Eukaryota; Fungi; Ascomycota; Dothideomycetes; Botryosphaeriales; Botryosphaeriaceae. The record is from RNAcentral.